Molecule: long non-coding RNA, 3272 nt
Organism: Magnolia sinica
Lineage: Eukaryota; Viridiplantae; Streptophyta; Magnoliopsida; Magnoliales; Magnoliaceae
Exons: 2
Source: RefSeq, a predicted model, not a curated record
UCUAAUUUUAAUCCCUUCAUCUUUGCCAUGCAGCUAAUUUAGUGCCUUAAAAUUUAGGCUGCAUUUGGAUGCAAGUGAAUCAAAUUGUAGAAACUGAGUUUGGACUACAUUUGGAAAAAAAAAAGAGAGGCUCAAAUGGUCGUUCCACCCAAUAUUCAUAGCGGCCACAUGCAUUUCAAAAGGUGUGAUGUUUGAAAAUAUAGAAAGUGCAUUAUGCAUAGCAGCAUAGGGUAGAAUGGAUUAUAUCCAUCAAACCAUCCCAAAAUGGCAUGUGAGCUAGUUUCUUCUUAUUGAAGAAUAAGCACAAAUGGCCAUUCCGCUCCAUGGGAAUUCAGUAACAUCUAAAUGCAUUCCAGACCCCGAGGCAAUGGAAACAAUUAAUAAUGCUUCCUAUUAUUUGCAAGGAGGAAGUGGUCCUCCAAUUGUAGUUACACUUUUUUGAACUCCUACUUGAAAGUAAUGUGUGAGCGUGAUUUGGAGGUCAAAUCCUCAAUGUGAAAACUACGAAAAUCUCAAUUUGGUUACUUACACUUGAUUAGACUAAUUACUGCGAUCCACUUGAUAGUGCAUCCAAAAGCACCCUUACUGACCAACAACACGUUUACCAGCGGGUAGACUAGUGAGCUCCUAAGUGUUAUUUUGAUAAAGAGCAGUAUUUUUGUCUUCCACUACCUGCUUCCACUCCUUAUGUAACAUUACUUCCUAAUAUGACUUGGGAAUAGAAUGAGAGGACAAUGAUAGCAUGAAUUUGCAAAAAGUGGGAGAUAAGCAUUGAAAUGAGACAUUUGGAGAUAGGAUGAUCGAUAAAUGUACGCUUACCUUUUCUCAAGGCAAUAGGAACAUCAGAACUAUCUGGAAUAGUCAUUGGAUCACUAAUGAUGGGGACAUCAUGCGCACGCGCACGCCCCCCACUCUACGCACAUACUCAAGGAGGAGGAAUGCCCCAUUAUCGAUCUGGAUCGACGACGACCUUUAUGGAGGACCUCUUAGUUAGGGGGCUGUGUUAUGGAGCAUUGGAGUGCACCCGAUCAUCAUAGAGAUUCCACCAUUGGAUCUCAUGAUCGUGGCCCACUACCCUAGAUGAUCUACGAUUUUGAGUCUUGGUUAUUAUCGUUAUUAGAAACUUCAUGAACAAUUUUGAUUGCGUUGAUUAGUUGUUAUUUUUGUUACUUCGCCUCUAUGUAAUAGUGUGCGCACAUGGCGCGACUUUUGGGGUUUAGGGUUUUCUUAUAAAUAGGCGACCCCUUAUAGGUUUUUUUAAAAUGAAGUUUAUGAAUAAAAUUCUGCGUUUUUCUUCUCUAAUUCUCUGAGUUGAAGAAUCUAAUUGGGUGCGAAACCCUCCCUUCUUUGAAGGGCUAAUUACCUUGGUGCGAAGCUACAACCAUCCCAAAUCGUCCUCACCUCCUACACUCCACGUCCAUCAUCUCCCACAGCCAUCCCUUCUUCAAAUCCACCCAUUUUUGUACCCAAGUUCUCCUCUACAGCAGAUUUUCAGAUUUUGGCCCUCCAGGGGGGCUGAAACUUCGGCGGAGCACCAUGCACAAACCGGACAGCGGAUCAAUGUAAGAUUUGGUGUGUGAGUGGGCCACCCCUGGCCGACCACACCCUAGGUGGCCGUUUCCAGUUUCGUGGGCCCCACACACGUAUGAACAAGAACUCAUGCACGUGCGUUUGGGCCGGACUGUUGUCCACACGUGUGGACUAUCUUAGGUUCUUCUCUCUCCUCUAUUCUCUCCUCUCUCGCCUUACAUCCCUAACCCUAACCCUAGAUAAUCCUAAAUUCCAACUUCUUUCCUACUUUUGCAAACCCUAGACUUUCUUUAAAUUGAAACAUGGUGAAUCUUUUGAAUUGGGGAACAAUCCUUUGCAAGAAUGGAUGAAUCUACACUCCUUUGGUUAUUGUUUGGUUUAUAAUUUUUAUUUGAUCCGGCCCUAACGUGUGUAGGCUUGGACCCCUAUAGAUUCCCGUUGUUGAAUGUUUGAUCGUAUGUGGGACGUGGAAUUUUGUGAUUGUUUAAAAUUGGUAUGAUCUAAAGCUUGAAAUCUUGCAUUUCAUAUUUAAUUUCAUGUCCUGCAUCAACUAGGCUCUCGGAAGAAAAUAUGGUUGAUGGCACAUCAUAAUAGAUCACACUAUUUGUCUAUUUUUGUCCUGAGUAAACUUUUAAUGAGAAGCAAUGGGAAUAGAUGAGUUCACAAAGGUAAGAGAUUGGAUUAUGUCUUCUUCAACCAUUAUUGGUACAAGCACAACUUCCACAUUAAGAAAUUUAUUGUCUUGUGAGAAGAACGGAGUAGACUAAAAAAAAUGUAACAUUUGCAGACACAGUGUUCAAAGUAAAGAACUGUAACAACGAUAACCUCUGUGCCCGUGAAUACCCAAGGAAAAUACAUUUAAUGGCUCUAAGACUGAAUUUAUCGUGACCCGACCCCAAUUAAUGAACAAAACAUAUACAUUAAAAAACUUUGGGAGACAGAGAAAGCAACGAGGUAUCUGGAAGUAGAACUUCAUGAGGUGAUUUACUCAUUAAAACAAUCGAAGGCAUUUGAUUUAUCAAAAAACGCCAUGAAUAUUACCAGACUCCAAUAAUUCUAACGCCAUGAAGUUUGUGGGUGCUUGAUACCAUGUAAUUCUCUCUCUCUCUCUCUCUCUCUCUCUAUAUAUAUAUAUAUAUAUAUAUAUAUAAACACGCUUUGAUACCAUGUAAUUCUGGAAGGAUCCCUCAUCAUCCAACAUCUAGUUGUUUUUGGAUUGUUGUUAUAUCGCUUUCUUAACCACAUUUGUUGACCACUGACCAAUGUUAACAUCUUCCAACUUGGGAGAAAGAUGGAUUAGAUAGAAAAGAUAGAAAACAAAAUUGCUCCGAUAACAUGUAGAUUUGUAAAUUAGAAGUAGAAGAAAGAAGAAGAAAUAAGAUAAGAGAGAAGAGAGAGUUGUGAAAAGAAAAGAAAAGAGGAUUAUAUGUCUAGACAUCCCCUCUCCUCUUAUUUGUAUUAAUAAUAAGUAAGUGAAAAAGAUAAAAACACCCUUAAGUAACAAAAGCAAAAAUUCUCCUCAAGUCCUAACCAGUGUUCGAAAUAUCAGUAUUGCGUUAUGUAUCGCACCCUUGGAUAUGAACAUGUAUCAAUUAUCGCAUGGGAUAUAUCGGUUGUAUCGCGUAAUGUAUCGUUGUUGUUGGAAACAUUGGGAAAUUGGUCAAAUUUUUCAAUGAAACUUCAGUGAUUGUUAAAAAAGACAUCAAUACACACUUGUAAAUCAAAACACUACAAAAAAACAA